UACGAAGGGGGCUAGCGUUGUUCGGAAUUACUGGGCGUAAAGCGCGCGCAGGCGGCCUUUCAAGUCAGGGGUGAAAGCCCGGAGCUCAACUCCGGAAUUGCCUUUGAAACUGCCAGGCUCGAGUACGGGAGAGGUGAGUGGAAUUCCCAGUGUAGAGGUGAAAUUCGUAGAUAUUGGGAAGAACACCGGUGGCGAAGGCGGCUCACUGGCCCGUUUCUGACGCUCAGGCGCGACAGCGUGGGGAUCAAACAGG
Molecule: ribosomal RNA, 253 nt
Filed under: uncultured bacterium
Lineage: Bacteria
Description: partial 16S ribosomal RNA
Rfam family: Bacterial small subunit ribosomal RNA
Source: RNAcentral